Molecule: long non-coding RNA, 1288 nt
Organism: Bos taurus (domestic cattle)
Lineage: Eukaryota; Metazoa; Chordata; Mammalia; Artiodactyla; Bovidae
Source: Ensembl
AAGUGAAAAGUGAAAGUGAAGUCGCUCAGUCAAGUCCGAGUCUUAGCGACCCCAUGGACUGGAGCCUACCAGGCUCCUCUGUCCAUGGGAUUUCCCAGGCAAGAGUCCUGGAGUGGGGUGCCAUUGCCUUCUCUGAGGAAUGAAAUAGCACUAGCUUAAACUGGUUUUGCCUCUUUAAAUGGGUUGUUGAUUAAUCAAAUUGAAAUAGCACCAGCUUAAACUGGUUUUGCCACCACUCAUAGGUUGUUGAUUAAUCAAACCUUGAGUCAUUUUACACAGACAGCAUUCUGUAUGUGUGAGAUGGAAAUUCAUGUUUCCAGGAUGACAGCGGAACCAAGAAUCUUUAGUCUACAGAACUUAAAGACUAGAAAUGUUGUCACUGGAGUCUUUUGCAAAACGAGAAGUCCUUUAAUCGGGGAAAAUCUGGCUUCCAGGAGCCCAAGUAGCUCAGAUGCUCUAAUUGAAGACUAGCCAAUUAGCUUCCGAUUUUGAAAUUCCCCUAACCAUUAAAUAUCUCCUGGAAGCCUGGAUCAGGGAGACAGAUCUGUGAGCCUUGCUCCUAUUCUUUAUGCUGGUUGGCCUUGCUGCAAACCUCUUUGUUUUCUCAAAAGCCAGUCCCAUAGUCUCGGCUUCUCUGUGUGUGAUCCGGCAGUGAGCCUUUGCUUGGUAACCGGAGCAUGGCAAUGGGCAAAUUAAGCCCCAGCUAUGGAACAGAGAUCAGAAGAGGACUGGCCUUGGAGCUGCUCCUCUCCGUGGAAAUGUUUACAGCCGGUGAAACUGGGGGUGCUGAGGGCAUAGCAGUGGAGAGUGGCGACCCUACCCCUCUCCAUCAGCUGAUUCCGCUCCUGCCUUGGCUCCUAGUGGCAUCAGAGGUCACCAGGGAAAUGGAUAGAUCUGAUGUGCUUUGGUGGAAAGGGAGCUGGACUCUCAGUGAUGAAGUUUAGUGCUUUGAGUUUUAUGUGUGAACCCUGCCACUCCUUUGCUAUGUGAGAGACUGAAGAAUUGGUGAGAAAAAAAAAUAAGAAAGAAAUAAGGGUACAUUCUCAGCAGCACUGAGUCCUGGGAAAAGAAUGAACGCAUAGAUUCUGGCGCUCAGGCCUGCAUCACUCCCUGUGGCUUCUCACGGCCGGUAGCCCACGGAUGGUCAGUUCUCUACCUUUGUUUUCCCUUUGGGAGAAGAUGUACAUGGUAUUCACAGUGAACUUCUCAGACUCUCAAAGACAACCAACAACACCUGCAGAAAAAUGUGCAUCCUUCCUCAAGAAACCAUCUCUCCCUGCAGUGAAAC